RNAcentral lists this ribosomal RNA (357 nucleotides) under uncultured bacterium. RNAcentral describes it as "bacterial SSU rRNA". It matches the Rfam family "Bacterial small subunit ribosomal RNA", at positions 22 to 356 of the family's 1533-position model. The record is from RNAcentral.
GCUCAGGACGAACGCUGGCGGCGUGCUUAACACAUGCAAGUCGAACGAAGAGCGAUGGAAGCUUGCUUCUAUCAAUCUUAGUGGCGAACGGGUGAGUAACGCGUAAUCAACCUGCCCUUCAGAGGGGGACAACAGUUGGAAACGACUGCUAAUACCGCAUACGAUCUAAUCUCGGCGUCGAGGAUAGAUGAAAGGUGGCCUCUACAUGUAAGCUAUCACUGAAGGAGGGGAUUGCGUCUGAUUAGCUAGUUGGAGGGGUAACGGCCCACCAAGGCGAUGAUCAGUAGCCGGUCUGAGAGGAUGAACGGCCACAUUGGGACUGAGACACGGCCCAGACUCCUACGGGAGGCAGCAGUA